GUCGACGGGUAGCCGGCCUGAGAGGGUGACCGGCCACACUGGGACUGAGACACGGCCCAGACUCCUACGGGAGGCAGCAGUGGGGAAUAUUGCACAAUGGGCGCAAGCCUGAUGCAGCAACGCCGCGUGAGGGACGACGGCCUUCGGGUUGUAAACCUCUUUUAGCAGGGAAGAAGCGAAAGUGACGGUACCUGCAGAAAAAGCGCCGGCUAACUACGUGCCAGCAGCCGCGGUAAUACGUAGGGCGCAAGCGUUAUCCGGAAUUAUUGGGCGUAAAGAGCUCGUAGGCGGUUUGUCGCGUCUGCUGUGAAAUCCGGAGGCUCAACCUCCGGCCUGCAGUGGGUACGGGCAGACUAGAGUGCGGUAGGGGAGAUUGGAAUUCCUGGUGUAGCGGUGGAAUGCGCAGAUAUCAGGAGGAACACCGAUGGCGAAGGCAGAUCUCUGGGCCGUAACUGACGCUGANGAGCGAANGGUGGGGAGCAAACAGGCUUAGAUACCCUGGUAGUCCACCCCGUAAACGUUGGGAACUAGUUGUGGGGUCCAUUCCACGGAUUCCGUGACGCAGCUAACGCAUUAAGUUCCCCGCCUGGGGAGUACGGCCGCAAGGCUAAAACUCAAAGGAAUUGACGGGGACCCGCACAAGCGGCGGAGCAUGCGGAUUAAUUCGAUGCAACGCGAAGAACCUUACCAAGGCUUGACAUAUACGAGAACGGGCCAGAAAUGGUCAACUCUUUGGACACUCGUAAACAGGUGGUGCAUGGUUGUCGUCAGCUCGUGUCGUGAGAUGUUGGGUUAAGUCCCGCAACGAGCGCAACCCUCGUUCUAUGUUGCCAGCACGUAAUGGUGGGAACUCAUGGGAUACUGCCGGGGUCAACUCGGAGGAAGGUGGGGAUGACGUCAAAUCAUCAUGCCCCUUAUGUCUUGGGCUUCACGCAUGCUACAAUGGCCGGUACAAAGGGCUGCAAUACCGCGAGGUGGAGCGAAUCCCAAAAAGCCGGUCCCAGUUCGGAUUGAGGUCUGCAACUCGACCUCAUGAAGUCGGAGUCGCUAGUAAUCGCAGAUCAGCAACGCUGCGGUGAAUACGUUCCCGGGUCUUGUACACACCGCCCGUCAAGUCAUGAAAGUCGGUAACACCUGAAGCCGGUGGCCUAACCCUUGUGGAGGGAGCCGUCGAAGGUGGGAUCGGUAA
This 1189-nucleotide ribosomal RNA is filed under the name Microbacterium oxydans. Its description in RNAcentral is "bacterial SSU rRNA". It matches the Rfam family "Bacterial small subunit ribosomal RNA", at positions 275 to 1474 of the family's 1533-position model. The record is from RNAcentral. Lineage: Bacteria; Bacillati; Actinomycetota; Actinomycetes; Micrococcales; Microbacteriaceae.